UUCUCAAGAGGGAGGCAAUCAUGUGUAAUUAGAUAUGAUUGACACCUCUGUGAGUAGA
Molecule: microRNA precursor, 58 nt
Filed under: Macaca mulatta (Rhesus monkey)
Lineage: Eukaryota; Metazoa; Chordata; Mammalia; Primates; Cercopithecidae
Description: Mml-Mir-506-P1e_pre stem-loop
Source: RNAcentral